CAGCGCCACGAGUGGGGGUCACGAUUAUUGGGCCUAAAGCGUCCGUAGCCGGUUCAGCAAAUCCUUUGUGAAAUCGUUGGGCUCAACCCAACGGCGUGCAGGGGACACUACUGAACUAGGGACCGGGAGGGGUUGGAGGUAUUUCUGAGGGAGCGGUAAAAUGCUAUAAUCUCAGGAGGACCACCUGUGGCGAAGGCGUCCAACCAGAACGGAUCCGACGGUGAGGGACGAAGGCCAGGGGAGCGAACCGGAUUAGAUACCCGAGUAGUCC
RNAcentral lists this ribosomal RNA (271 nucleotides) under uncultured archaeon. Its description in RNAcentral is "partial 16S ribosomal RNA". It matches the Rfam family "Archaeal small subunit ribosomal RNA", at positions 477 to 747 of the family's 1478-position model. The record is from RNAcentral.